RNAcentral lists this ribosomal RNA (462 nucleotides) under Schmidingerella taraikaensis. RNAcentral describes it as "partial Bacterial large subunit ribosomal RNA". It matches the Rfam family "Bacterial large subunit ribosomal RNA", at positions 2078 to 2549 of the family's 2925-position model. The record is from RNAcentral. Lineage: Eukaryota; Ciliophora; Spirotrichea; Tintinnida; Rhabdonellidae.
GGACGAAAAGACCCCGUGCACCUUCACUACAGCUUAACGUUGGUAUUGGGUAAAUGAUGUGUAGGAUAGGUGGGAGACUAUGAAGGUGUAUCGCUAGAUAUGCUGGAGUCAUCGUUGAAAUACCACCCUUCUUAUAUUUAGGUUCUAAUCUACGAAAGUGGAGACAUUGUGUGGUGGGUAGUUUGACUGGGGUGGUCGCCUCCUAAAAAGUAACGGAGGCUCGCAAAGGUACCCUCAGCAUGGUUGGUAAUCAUGCAUAGAGUGCAAUAGCAUAAGGGUGCUUGACUGCAAGACCUACAAGUCAAGCAGGCACGAAAGUGGGAUAUAGUGAUCCGGUGGUUCCGUAUGGAAGGGCCAUCGCUCAAAGGAUAAAAGGUACUCCGGGGAUAACAGGCUGAUCUCCCCCAAGAGCUCAUAUCGACGGGGAGGUUUGGCACCUCGAUGUCGGCUCGUCACAUCCUG